UACGGAGGAUCCAAGCGUUAUCCGGAUUUAUUGGGCGUAAAGAGCUCGUAGGCGGUUUGUCGCGUCUGCCGUGAAAGUCCGGGGCUCAACUCCGGAUCUGCGGUGGGUACGGGCAGACUAGAGUGAUGUAGGGGAGACUGGAAUUCCUGGUGUAGCGGUGAAAUGCGCAGAUAUCAGGAGGAACACCGAUGGCGAAGGCAGGUCUCUGGGCAUUAACUGACGCUGAGGAGCGAAAGCAUGGGGAGCGAACAGG
RNAcentral lists this ribosomal RNA (253 nucleotides) under uncultured bacterium. Its description in RNAcentral is "partial 16S ribosomal RNA". It matches the Rfam family "Bacterial small subunit ribosomal RNA", at positions 524 to 776 of the family's 1533-position model. The record is from RNAcentral.